RNAcentral lists this ribosomal RNA (346 nucleotides) under uncultured eukaryote. RNAcentral describes it as "SSU rRNA". It matches the Rfam family "Eukaryotic small subunit ribosomal RNA", at positions 594 to 945 of the family's 1831-position model. The record is from RNAcentral.
AUAGCGUAUAUUAAAGUUGUUGUGGUUAAAAAGCUCGUAGUUGAACCUUGGGCCUGGUUGGCCGGUCCGCCUCACCGCGUGUACUGGUCCGGCCGGGCCUUUCCCUCUGUGGAACCCCAUGCCCUUCACUGGGUGUGGCGGGGAAACAGGAUUUUUACUUUGAAAAAAUUAGAGUGCACCAGGCAGGCCUAUGCUCAAAUACAUUAGCAUGGAAUAAUAAAAUAGGACGUGCGGUUCUAUUUUGUUGGUUUCUAGGACCGCCGUAAUGAUUAAUAGGGACAGUCGGGGGCAUCAGUAUUCAAUUGUCAGAGGUGAAAUUCUUGGAUUUAUUGAAGACUAACUACUG